AAUCAAGCGCUUAAGAGCAUAUUGUGGAUGCCUUGGCUCUAGGAGGCGAUGAAGGACGUGAUACACUGCGAAAAGCCACGGGGAGUUGUGAAUAAACUUUGAUCCGUGGAUGUCCGAAUGGGGAAACCCACCGUUUUUACGGUAUUGCUAACUGAAUACAUAGGUUAGUAAAGCAAACCCGGUGAACUGAAACAUCUUAGUAACCGGAGGAAAGGAAAUCAACCGAGACUCCGCUAGUAGCGGCGAGCGAACGCGGACCAGGCCUGUGAUUUAUGUAAUAAUAACUAAAACGAGUUGGGAAGCUCGGCCAUAGAAGGUGAUAGCCCUGUAUAGGUAAUGUAUUAUGUAGAUCCUCGAGUAGGGCGGAACACGUGAAAUUCUGUCUGAAGAUGGGGGGACCACCCUCCAAGCCUAAGUACUCCCUAGAGACCGAUAGUGAACAAGUACCGUGAGGGAAAGGUGAAAAGAACCCCGAUGAGGGGAGUGAAAUAGAAUCUGAAACAAUAUGCUUACAAUCUGUGGGAGCAGACAAGAUCUGUGACCGCGUACCUUUUGUAUAAUGGGUCAGCGAGUUAGUCUGUGCAGCAAGCUUAAGCCGAUAGGUGUAGGCGUAGCGAAAGCGAGUCUUAAUAGGGCGACAAGUUGCACGGAUUAGACCCGAAACCUAGUGAUCUAGCCAUGGGCAGGUUGAAGGUGCAGUAACAUGUACUGGAGGACCGAACCCACUGAUGUUGCAAUAUCAGGGGAUGACCUGUGGUUAGGGGUGAAAGGCCAAUCAAACUAGGUUAUAGCUGGUUCUCCGCGAAAACUAUUUAGGUAGUGCGUCGUGUCUAUCCAUCGGGGGUAGAGCACUGGAUGGGCUAGGGGGGCUCGCGCCUUACCAAACCCAACCAAACUCCGAAUACCGAUGAGAUCAAUCACGGCAGACAGUCUCUGGGUGCUAAGGUCCAGGGACGAGAGGGAAACAGCCCUGAUCGCCAGCUAAGGUCCCUAAGUUGUGGUUAAGUGUGAAAGGAUGUGGGAAGGCCAAGACAGCCAGGAGGUUGGCUUAGAAGCAGCCAUCCUUUAAAGAAAGCGUAAUAGCUCACUGGUCUAGUUAAGCUAGCCUGCGCCUAAAAUGUAACGGGGCUUAAACCACACACCGAAGCUGCGGGCUCGAAAGAGCGGUAGCGGAGCGUUCUGUAGGCCGAAGAAGGUGGAUACGUGAGUAACACUGGAGGUAUCAGAAGUGAGAAUGCUGACAUAAGUAGCGUAAAUGAAUGUGAGAGACAUUCACGCCGAAAGUCCAAGGGUUCCUGUGCAAGGUUAAUCCGCGCAGGGUUAGUCGGCCCCUAAGGCGAGGCCGAAAGGCGUAGUCGAUGGGAAUCAGGUUAAUAUUCCUGAACCUGUUAGAAGUGACGGAGGCCGGAAGCUGUGCAUGCUUAUUGGAUUGUGUGUGCAGUCUAGGACUCCCAGGAAAUAGCUCUAACAUUAAAGACCGUACCCUAAACCGACACUGGUGGACUGGUAGAGUAUACCAAGGCGCUUGAGAGAAUGAUGUUGAAGGAACUCGGCAAAUUGCUCCUGUAACUUCGGAAGAAGGGAGACCCAUAUGAGGGCAACCUUUUAUGGGUGACACAAACCAGGGGGUAACGACUGUUUAUCAAAAACACAGGACUAUGCAAAAUCGUAAGAUGACGUAUAUGGUCUGACGCCUGCCCGGUGCUGGAAGGUUAAGAGGAGGGGUGCAAGCUCUGAAUUGAAGCCCCAGUAAACGGCGGCCGUAACUAUAACGGUCCUAAGGUAGCGAAAUUCCUUGUCGGGUAAGUUCCGACCCGCACGAAUGGCGUAACGAUUUCCCCGCUGUCUCCAACAUCAACUCAGCGAAAUUGAAUUCUCCGUGAAGAUGCGGAGUUCCUGCGGCUAGACGAGAAGACCCCGUGAACCUUUACUAUAACUUUGCAGUGAAGUUAGGGGUGACAUGUGUAGGAUAGGUGGGAGACUUUGAAGCAUUGGCGCCAGCCGGUGUGGAGUCAUCCUUGAAAUACCACCCUUGUCACCUUUGAUUUCUAACCGAGCCCUGUGAAACCAGGGCCGGGACCCUGCAUGGUGGGUAGUUUGACUGGGGCGGUCGCCUCCUAAAGAGUAACGGAGGCGCGCGAUGGUAGGCUCAAGCUGGUCGGAAAUCAGCUGUUGAGUGCAAUGGCAAAAGCCUGCCUGACUGCGAGAGUGACACCUCGAGCAGAGACGAAAGUCGGUCAUAGUGAUCCGGUGGUUCCAAGUGGACGGGCCAUCGCUCAACGGAUAAAAGGUACUCCGGGGAUAACAGGCUGAUCUCCCCCAAGAGUUCAUAUCGACGGGGAGGUUUGGCACCUCGAUGUCGACUCAUCACAUCCUGGGGCUGAAGCAGGUCCCAAGGGUUCGGCUGUUCGCCGAUUAAAGUGGUACGUGAGUUGGGUUCAGAACGUCGUGAGACAGUUCGGUUUCUAUCUACCGUAGGUGUUGGAAUAUUGAGAGGACCUGUCCCUAGUACGAGAGGACCGGGAUGGACAUACCUCUGGUGUACCAGUUGUGUUGCCAAAUGCAGCGCUGGGUAGCUAAGUAUGGAAUAGAUAACUGCUGACAGCAUCUAAGCGGGAAGCUAGCCUCAAAACAAGUAUUCCCUGAGAAUCGUGGAAGACCACCACGUUGAUAGGUCAGGUGUGGAAGCACGGUAACGUGUGUAGCUAACUGAUACUAAUAAUUCAAUCGGCUUGAUUCG
This 2740-nucleotide ribosomal RNA is filed under the name Alphaproteobacteria bacterium. RNAcentral describes it as "23S ribosomal RNA". It matches the Rfam family "Bacterial large subunit ribosomal RNA". The record is from RNAcentral. Lineage: Bacteria; Pseudomonadati; Pseudomonadota; Alphaproteobacteria.